AGCGCAACCCUGCCAUCUGUUGCCAGCAAGUGAAGUUGGGGACUCAGGUGGAACUGCCGGUGACAAACCGGAGGAAGGUGGGGACGACGUCAAGUCAUCAUGGCCCUUAUGUCCUGGGCGUACACACGUGCUACAAUGGCCGGUACAGAGCGCAGCGAAGCCGCGAGGCAAAGCGAAUCGCAAAAAGCCGGUCUCAGUACGGAUUGGAGUCUGAAACCCGACUCCAUGAAGUUGGAAUCGCUAGUAAUCGCGCAUCAGCAUGGCGCGGUGAAUACGUUCCCGGGCCUU
Molecule: ribosomal RNA, 288 nt
Filed under: uncultured Spirochaeta sp.
Lineage: Bacteria; Pseudomonadati; Spirochaetota; Spirochaetia; Spirochaetales; Spirochaetaceae
Description: partial 16S ribosomal RNA
Rfam family: Bacterial small subunit ribosomal RNA
Source: RNAcentral